Molecule: ribosomal RNA, 500 nt
Filed under: uncultured bacterium
Lineage: Bacteria
Description: partial 16S ribosomal RNA
Rfam family: Bacterial small subunit ribosomal RNA
Source: RNAcentral
AUUGAACGCUGGCGGCAUGCCUUACACAUGCAAGUCGAACGGUAACGCGGGGGCAACCCUGGCGACGAGUGGCGAACGGGUGAGUAAUACAUCGGAACAUAUCCAGUAGCGGGGGAUAACCUAUCGAAAGAUGGACUAAUACCGCAUACGAUCUACGGAUGAAAGCAGGGGACCGCAAGGCCUUGCACUAUUGGAGUGGCCGAUGUCGGAUUAGCUAGUUGGUGGGGUAAAAGCCUACCAAGGCGACGAUCCGUAGCUGGUCUGAGAGGACGAUCAGCCACACUGGAACUGAGACACGGUCCAGACUCCUACGGGAGGCAGCAGUGGGGAAUUUUGGACAAUGGGCGCAAGCCUGAUCCAGCCAUGCCGCGUGAGUGAAGAAGGCCUUCGGGUUGUAAAGCUCUUUCGGUGAAGACGAAACGGUUAGCGCUAAUAACGCUGGCUAAUGACAGUACUCACAGAAGAAGCACCGGCUAACUACGUGCCAGCCGCCGCGGUAA